This 1233-nucleotide ribosomal RNA is filed under the name Triticum aestivum (bread wheat). Its description in RNAcentral is "partial small subunit ribosomal RNA". The record is from RNAcentral. Lineage: Eukaryota; Viridiplantae; Streptophyta; Magnoliopsida; Poales; Poaceae.
AUGGCACCUUUGUCACCUUCCCCGAUCACAGUAUUCAUCACGGGCUAUCCAUUCCCGACAACGCAUGCUUCGUUGGCGUGUGUCACAGCUGGCUCGUCUUUUCCCGCAUCUCAGACUUGUGGCGACGUAGCUACCUCUUGUACAACCCUUUCACCAAAUCAACGGUGCCGCUUCCGGGGCUUGACUCUGCCAUCGACGAUACCUCUUACCAGUUCGAGGUCCAGAAGGUACUUAUGGGGUCGACCAAAGAUGAUAUCGGUCGCGGUGACAACCAACAAUUGCAAUUACCCGAUCAUCUUGUGCCGCCCCGGGAAACCCGGCGCAUGGUGGCCCCGACGGGGCGAGAUGCCAUAUGCGUCCAUAUUUGAUGUCGUGUUCUACAAAGACAACCUAUGUGGGAUCACUAAGAGCAAUGAUCUUGUUGUGAUGGAUAUUGAUCAAGACGACGAGGGAAUCCCCUUUGUUAAGGAUAUUAAGUAUGUUAUCAUGCACCCAUCAGGUGAUGAUGAUGAGGCGGAUGAGGAGGAGCGGGACGAGGAAGACGAGUACAAAGACGGCGGAGAAGUGUCGAGCAAUGACGAGGUGGAGUACAACGAGACAUCAAGCAUUGACGAGGACGGCGAAGAGUUGGACGAUGCAUCGAUUGUCAACGAUGACUCUGACGAUGAUAAGGUAACAAUGAACAAACUGGCGAACAAGGACAACAACUUUAACAUGGAUGACCACGAAGAAGUGUCGAGCAAUGAGGGUGAAGAAGACGUGGAUGAUGGAGAUUACGAUGAUGGGUCGGGUAUCUUAGGUGAUUCAUUUUUUGAAGGCAUGAUACCGAACGACUCUGACUACAUGGUUCCAGACGGCAAUGAGUAUGCACAUGGAGAAGACCUAGAUGGCAUCGUGACCAGUCGACAUCUCUUUGAGUCGAAUGGCAAGUUACUCAUGGUAAGGCGGCGACAAUACGUGCCUAUACUCUCUCGUUCUUACAAUCUAAAGGUUGAUGUUUUGGAGGCGGACGUCAAUGCCGGCGUAUGGAUUCCUCGUAUCGAUGGCGUGCCAGGUGCAUUUUUCAUGAGCAAACAUUACUCAAUACAUGUUCCCACAUACAAAGAGGCGGGAAAGAAGUUUAUCCACCACUUUGUAGAUGAGCAUAAUGUGGGGGUCGAUUCAAGAUCGCGACGAUUUAGUCUAAGUGAGGGUAAGCCGAUGUGGUUUUCCCCACAAGAGCCAGUUGUAUGA